RNAcentral lists this ribosomal RNA (598 nucleotides) under Trichoderma harzianum. RNAcentral's name for it is "eukaryotic LSU rRNA". The stretch from base 208 to 361 matches the Rfam family "5.8S ribosomal RNA". Lineage: Eukaryota; Fungi; Ascomycota; Sordariomycetes; Hypocreales; Hypocreaceae. The record is from RNAcentral.
CGGGGGGCUUCGGAGGGUUCACUCCCAACCCAUGUGACGUUACCAAACUGUUGCCUCGGCGGGAUCUCUGCCCCGGGUGCGUCGCAGCCCCGGACCAAGGCGCCCGCCGGAGGACCAACCAAAACUCUUAUUGUAUACCCCCUCGCGGGUUUUUUUAUAAUCUGAGCCUUCUCGGCGCCUCUCGUAGGCGUUUCGAAAAUGAAUCAAAACUUUCAACAACGGAUCUCUUGGUUCUGGCAUCGAUGAAGAACGCAGCGAAAUGCGAUAAGUAAUGUGAAUUGCAGAAUUCAGUGAAUCAUCGAAUCUUUGAACGCACAUUGCGCCCGCCAGUAUUCUGGCGGGCAUGCCUGUCCGAGCGUCAUUUCAACCCUCGAACCCCUCCGGGGGGUCGGCGUUGGGGAUCGGCCCUGCCUUGGCGGUGGCCGUCUCCGAAAUACAGUGGCGGUCUCGCCGCAGCCUCUCCUGCGCAGUAGUUUGCACACUCGCAUCGGGAGCGCGGCGCGUCCACAGCCGUUAAACACCCAACUUCUGAAAUGUUGACCUCGGAUCAGGUAGGAAUACCCGCUGAACUUAAGCAUAUCAAUAAGCGGGAGGAAGU